Molecule: ribosomal RNA, 424 nt
Filed under: uncultured bacterium
Lineage: Bacteria
Description: bacterial SSU rRNA
Rfam family: Bacterial small subunit ribosomal RNA
Source: RNAcentral
AUUGAACGCUGGCGGAAUGCUUUACACAUGCAAGUCGAGCGGCAGCACGGGGGCAACCCUGGUGGCGAGCGGCGAACGGGUGAGUAAUACAUCGGAACAUGCCCAGUCGUGGGGGAUAACACUUCGAAAGAAGUGCUAAUACCGCAUACGUCCUGAGGGAGAAAGCGGGGGAUCGCAAGACCUCGCGCGAUUGGAGUGGCCGAUGUCAGAUUAGCUAGUUGGUGGGGUAAAGGCCUACCAAGGCAACGAUCUGUAGCUGGUCUGAGAGGAUGAUCAGCCACACUGGGACUGAGACACGGCCCAGACUCCUACGGGAGGCAGCAGUGGGGAAUUUUGGACAAUGGGGGCAACCCUGAUCCAGCCAUUCCGCGUGAGUGAAGAAGGCCUCGGUUGUAAGCGUCUUCUAGUCAGGAACGAAACGGAC